GAUGAAGAAGCAGCGAAAUGCGAUAAGUAGUGUGAAUUGCAGAAUUCAGUGAAUCAUCGAAUCUUUGAACGCACAUUGCGCCCUUUGGUAUUCCAAAGGGCAUGCCUGUUCGAGCGUCAUUUGUACCCUCAAGCUUUGCUUGGUGUUGGGCGUCUUGUCUCUAGCUUUGCUGGAGACUCGCCUUAAAGUAAUUGGCAGCCGGCCUACUGGUUUCGGAGCGCAGCACAAGUCGCACUCUCUAUCAGCAAAGGUCUAGCAUCCAUUAAGCCUUUUUUUCAACUUUUGACCUCGGAUCAGGUAGGGAUACCCGCUGAACUUAAGCAUAUCAAUAAGCGGAGGA
This 340-nucleotide unclassified non-coding RNA is filed under the name soil metagenome. RNAcentral's name for it is "partial contains 5.8S ribosomal RNA, internal transcribed spacer 2, and large subunit ribosomal RNA". The stretch from base 1 to 119 matches the Rfam family "5.8S ribosomal RNA", at positions 35 to 154 of the family's 154-position model. The record is from RNAcentral.